RNAcentral lists this ribosomal RNA (464 nucleotides) under uncultured bacterium. Its description in RNAcentral is "partial 16S ribosomal RNA". It matches the Rfam family "Bacterial small subunit ribosomal RNA", at positions 339 to 795 of the family's 1533-position model. The record is from RNAcentral.
CUACGGGUUGCACCAGUGGGGAAUAUUGCACAAUGGGCGCAAGCCUGAUGCAGCCAUGCCGCGUGUAUGAAGAAGGCCUUCGGGUUGUAAAGUACUUUCAGCGGGGAGGAAGGGAGUAAAGUUAAUACCCUUGCUCAUUGACGUUACCCGCAGAAGAAGCACCGGCUAACUCCGUGCCAGCAGCCGCGGUAAUACGGAGGGUGCAAGCGUUAAUCGGAAUUACUGGGCGUAAAGCGCACGCAGACGGUUUGUUAAGUCAGAUGUGAAAUCCCCGGGCUCAACCUGGGAACUGCAUCUGAUACUGGCAAGCUUGAGUAUCGUAGAGGGGGGUAGAAUUCCAGGUGUAGCGGUGAAAUGCGUAGAGAUCUGGAGGAAUACCGGUGGCGAAGGCGGCCCCCUGGACGAAGACUGACGCUCAGGUGCGAAAGCGUGGGGAGCAAACAGGAUUAGAUACCCCUGUAGUC